CCUACGGGUGGCAGCAGUGGGGAAUAUUGCACAAUGGGGGGAACCCUGAUGCAGCAACGCCGCGUGGGUGAAGAAGUACUUCGGUAUGUAAAGCCCUGUCAGCAGGGAAGAAAAUGACGGUACCUGACCAAGAAGCCCCGGCUAACUACGUGCCAGCAGCCGCGGUAAUACGUAGGGGGCAAGCGUUAUCCGGAUUGACUGGGUGUAAAGGGAGCGUAGACGGCAAGGCAAGUCUGGAGUGAAAGCCCGGGGCUCAACCACGGGACUGCUUUGGAAACUGUGUUGCUGGAGUGCAGGAGGGGUAAGCGGAAUUCCAAGUGUAGCGGUGAAAUGCGUAGAUAUUAGGAGGAACACCGGUGGCGAAGGCGGCUUACUGGACUGUAACUGACGUUGAGGCUCGAAGGCGUGGGGAGCAAACAGGAUUAGAUACCCCUGUAGUC
This 440-nucleotide ribosomal RNA is filed under the name uncultured bacterium. Its description in RNAcentral is "partial 16S ribosomal RNA". It matches the Rfam family "Bacterial small subunit ribosomal RNA", at positions 338 to 795 of the family's 1533-position model. The record is from RNAcentral.